GCUGGGGGGAGGGCGGCUGGAAAAGUUUGCGUAGCGCAACUUGGGCGGCGGCGAAAGCCGAGCGGCCGGCCGGCAAGUUCUCUGCGUGUGGCUGGCCCUCCGGCUCCGCGUGCGGGCGGACCGCGGCAGGUGGGCUCCCGGGCCGCAGACGUGGGUCCCAGGCGCCGAGGGAAGGCGAGGCCCGGGCGGCGAGGAGGCGCAUCACCUCGGCCACUGGGCGGCGGCCCGGGGAGCAGCAAAAUCUCCCCGGGAGGCGGUUUCUUCGCGGCCACCGCGCGCUCAGGAGUUUUCAGCCACUUUGCCGCCGGCUCGGUGGUCGGUGCAGAGAGGAGCUAUAGAAAAACGGUCGAGGAGAGGGGCUGCCCCCCGGGGGUGCACUGUCGUAGGAAAGUGAAAUUUCCAGCCUGAAAACCGCCAGCCCCUCCCUUCUAAAAAGAGGGAAGAAAAACUCGCGUUUUGUUCUGACACGCGGGUGAAUCAUGAGUGUGUGUCGUUUCCCCACAGAGUUUUGGAACACCAAUGUGAGUGUUUUUAUUCAGAAAAAUGGAAAAGACUUAUUUGAGAACUGGCACUGUAAUUGAGAAAACUUGAUUACCUUGAUGGUUAAUGCAAUAUAUAUGUCUGUCUCCUGUGGAUCUAGUAAUAAGAUCUUUUAACUCCAUUCUUCCCUGGCACUGUAUCAGCGAUGUGAAGUCAGGGAGGCCAAAUUAAGUCUGUGUAAAUUUCCCUGGUGUUGUCACUCUGUCUUCUGAAUAGUCUAGUCGGUCCAAGGAUAAUGUCAGUGCUCCAGAAGUACUGUGUCAACGUAACUUAUUCCAAGACACAAUCAUUGGCCAAGUGUUACC
Lynx canadensis (Canada lynx) is the source of this 845-nucleotide long non-coding RNA. RefSeq lists it as uncharacterized. The transcript is spliced from 3 exons. Lineage: Eukaryota; Metazoa; Chordata; Mammalia; Carnivora; Felidae. The record is from RefSeq and is a predicted model, not a curated record.